Molecule: microRNA precursor, 164 nt
Filed under: Mus caroli (Ryukyu mouse)
Lineage: Eukaryota; Metazoa; Chordata; Mammalia; Rodentia; Muridae
Description: miRNA (MGP_CAROLIEiJ_G0006969.1)
Source: RNAcentral
UCAAUGAGCUGACUGAAAAAAAAAUCACUAUUUUGAACUGUUAUUGUCCUUUCUUAUUCUAUACAAUAAGAAACCAUUUAUUGAUUAGAGUUUGACAUGAAAUGAAAGUAGAUAGAAAGUAACUUGCCGUGGCCAGCUCGGUGGUUGGACUGAAAGGAAGCUCC